This 885-nucleotide ribosomal RNA is filed under the name uncultured organism. Its description in RNAcentral is "bacterial SSU rRNA". It matches the Rfam family "Bacterial small subunit ribosomal RNA", at positions 551 to 1436 of the family's 1533-position model. The record is from RNAcentral.
UUACUGGGCGUAAAGGGUCCGUAGGCGCCCGUGUGUGUCGGGUGUGAAAUCCUGCAGCUUAACUGUAGCAUUGCGCUCGAAACUACACGGCUAGAGUAUUGGAGAGGUGAGUGGAAUUCCAGGUGUAGCGGUGAAAUGCGUAGAUAUCUGGAGGAACACCAACGGCGAAGGCAGCUCACUGGACAAUGACUGACGCUGAGGGACGAAAGCGUGGGGAGCGAAAGGGAUUAGAUACCCCUGUAGUCCACGCCGUAAACUUUGUGCACUCGCUAUUGGCGGAUUCGACCCCGUCAGUGGCCAAGCCAACGCGAUAAGUGCACCGCCUGAGGACUACGGCCGCAAGGCUAAAACUCAAAGGAAUUGACGGGUCCCCGCACAAGCGGUGGAGCAUGUGGCUUAAUUCGAUGCAACGCGAAGAACCUUACCAGGUCUUGACAUGUAGCGGACCGGGGCAGAGAUGCCCCUUCUCUUCGGAGCCGCUUCACAGGUGCUGCAUGGCUGUCGUCAGCUCGUGUCGUGAGAUGUUCGGUUAAGUCCGUCAACGAGCGCAACCCCUGUCCUUAGUUGCCAGCAUUCAGUUGGGGACUCUAAGGAGACAAUCCCGCUUUUGCGGGAGGGAAGGUGGGGAUGAUGUCAAGUCAGUAUGGCCCUUACGGCCUGGGCUGCACACGUGCUACAAUGCCCGGUACAAUAGGUCGCUACUCCGCGAGGAGAUGCUAAUCCAGAAAGCCGGGCCCAGUUCGGAUUGGAGUCUGCAACUCGACUCCAUGAAGUCGGAAUCGCUAGUAAUGGCGCAUCAGCAAUGGCGCCGUGAAUACGUUCCCGGGGAUUGUACACACCGCCCGUCACAUCAUGAAAGCCGGUUUCGCCCGAAGUACGUGCGCC